This 460-nucleotide ribosomal RNA is filed under the name uncultured bacterium. RNAcentral describes it as "partial 16S ribosomal RNA". It matches the Rfam family "Bacterial small subunit ribosomal RNA", at positions 338 to 795 of the family's 1533-position model. The record is from RNAcentral.
CCUACGGGGGGCAGCAGUGAGGAAUAUUGGUCAAUGGACGAGAGUCUGAACCAGCCAAGUAGCGUGAAGGAUGACUGCCCUAUGGGUUGUAAACUUCUUUUAUAUGGGAAUAAAAUGUUCCACGUGUGGGAUUUUGUAUGUACCCUAUGAAUAAGGAUCGGCUAACUCCGUGCCAGCAGCCGCGGUAAUACGGAGGAUCCGAGCGUUAUCCGGAUUUAUUGGGUUUAAAGGGAGCGUAGGUGGAUUGUUAAGUCAGUUGUGAAAGUUUGCGGCUCAACCGUAAAAUUGCAGUUGAAACUGGCAGUCUUGAGUACAGUAGAAGUGGGCGGAAUGCGUGGUGUAGCGGUGAAAUGCUUAGAUAUCACGAAGAACUCCGAUUGCGAAGGCAGUUCACUGGACUGCAACUGACACUGAGGCUCGAAAGUGUGGGUAUCAAACAGGAUUAGAUACCCCGGUAGUC